UGGGGAAUCUUGCGCAAUGGGCGAAAGCCUGACGCAGCAACGCCGCGUGGGGGAUGAAGGCUCUCGGGUGGUAAACCCCUUUCAGCAGGGACGAUUAUGACGGUACCUGCAGAAGAAGGACCGGCCAACUACGUGCCAGCAGCCGCGGUAAUACGUAGGGUCCAAGCGUUGUCCGGAUUUAUUGGGCGUAAAGAGCUCGUAGGCGGCUUAGUAAGUCGGAUGUGAAAACUCGGGGCUCAACCCCGAGACGCCAUCCGAUACUGCUGUGGCUUGAGUCUGGUAGGGGAACACGGAAUUCCUGGUGUAGCGGUGAAAUGCGCAGAUAUCAGGAGAAACACCGAUGGCGAAGGCAGUGUUCUGGGCCAGUACUGACGCUGAGGAGCGAAAGCGUGGGGAGCAAACAGG
Molecule: ribosomal RNA, 405 nt
Filed under: Fusobacteriota bacterium
Lineage: Bacteria; Fusobacteriati; Fusobacteriota
Description: Fusobacteria bacterium partial 16S ribosomal RNA
Rfam family: Bacterial small subunit ribosomal RNA
Source: RNAcentral